This 374-nucleotide long non-coding RNA is filed under the name Felis catus (domestic cat). RNAcentral's name for it is "lncRNA (ENSFCAG00000040807.2)". The record is from RNAcentral. Lineage: Eukaryota; Metazoa; Chordata; Mammalia; Carnivora; Felidae.
CGUUUAAGAACCUCUUUUAUAAUCUGGACACUUGUUUUAGAAGGUAAUGAAGACAUACACUUAAAAAGAUAACAGUAUGGAAAUAGGUUUUUAUGCCCAUUUUCUGUUUUCAUUUGUUUAUAAAUUAGGAGUAGGGCAAUAGAGUUACAUCUUUCUUCCUGUUUUAUUCAUUGUCUAGAUGUCAUCACCCAGAUUUUACCUCUGAUCGCUGAGGAUUCAGUGUGAACCAUCACAGCACAGGCAGGCUGCCCAUCUCAGUUGCAGACUCAAGCCUGAUUGUACUGCACUCCAACCAAAAGACCCCCUCAGGCAAGAAACACAUUUAUGGAAAGCUAUUUAUAAGGUUUAAAUUAUCCAUAUUAACAUUCUUAAGA